AUACAGAGGGUGCAAGCGUUAAUCGGAUUUACUGGGCGUAAAGCGCGCGUAGGUGGCUAAUUAAGUCAAAUGUGAAAUCCCCGAGCUUAACUUGGGAAUUGCAUUCGAUACUGGUUAGCUAGAGUAUGGGAGAGGAUGGUAGAAUUCCAGGUGUAGCGGUGAAAUGCGUAGAGAUCUGGAGGAAUACCGAUGGCGAAGGCAGCCAUCUGGCCUAAUACUGACACUGAGGUGCGAAAGCAUGGGGAGCAAACAGGAUUAGAUUCCCUGGUAGUCCAUGCCGUAAACGAUGUCUACUAGCCGUUGGGGCCCUUGAGGCUUUAGUGGCGCAGCUAACGCGAUAAGUAGACCGCCUGGGGAGUACGGUCGCAAGACUAAAACUCAAAUGAAUUGACGGGG
RNAcentral lists this ribosomal RNA (396 nucleotides) under uncultured bacterium. Its description in RNAcentral is "partial 16S ribosomal RNA". It matches the Rfam family "Bacterial small subunit ribosomal RNA", at positions 523 to 918 of the family's 1533-position model. The record is from RNAcentral.